Molecule: ribosomal RNA, 484 nt
Filed under: uncultured bacterium
Lineage: Bacteria
Description: partial 16S ribosomal RNA
Rfam family: Bacterial small subunit ribosomal RNA
Source: RNAcentral
AUUGAACGCUGGCGGCAGGCCUAACACAUGCAAGUCGAGCGGAUGAAGGGAGCUUUCUCCUGGCUUCAGCGGCGGACGGGUGAGUAAUGCCUAGGAAUCUGCCUGGUAGUGGGGGAUAACGUCCGUAAACGGGCGCUAAUACCGCAUACGUCCUGAUGGAGAACGUGGGGGAUCUUCGGACCUCACGCUUUCAGAUGAGCCUAGGUCGGAUUAGCUAGUUGGUGGGGUAAAGGCCUACCAAGGCGACGAUCCGUAACUGGUCUGAGAGGAUGAUCAGUCACACUGGAACUGAGACACGGUCCAGACUCCUACGGGAGGCAGCAGUAGGGAAUAUUGGACAAUGGGCGAAAGCCUGAUCCAGCCAUGCCGCGUGUGUGAAGAAGGUCUUCGGAUUGUAAAGCACUUUAAGUUGGGAGGAAGGGAAGUAAGUUAAUACCUUGCUGUUUUGACGUUACCAACAGAAUAAGCACCGGCUAACUUCGUG